RNAcentral lists this ribosomal RNA (651 nucleotides) under Basidioascus persicus. RNAcentral's name for it is "eukaryotic LSU rRNA". The stretch from base 201 to 354 matches the Rfam family "5.8S ribosomal RNA". Lineage: Eukaryota; Fungi; Basidiomycota; Geminibasidiomycetes; Geminibasidiales; Geminibasidiaceae. The record is from RNAcentral.
ACCUGCGGAAGGAUCAUUAAUGAAAUUGAAGUCUUCGGACUCAUCUUCAUUAUCCACACACACCUGUCGCACCUUUGAUUCGAGUACUGGUUAUUAGAGCUUCGGCUCGAGUGCUAGUGCUUGUCUCAAUAUCAAUCUUCAAAACAAUGUUUUCUAGAAUGUAUACUGUCUCGUUGUAAUGACGAGUACAACCCCUAUAAAACUUUCAACAACGGAUCUCUUGGCUCAGGCAUCGAUGAAGAACGCAGCGAAAUGCGAUAAGUAAUGUGAAUUGCAGAAUCCAGUGAAUCAUCGAAUCUUUGAACGCACCUUGCGCCCCUUGGUAUUCCGAGGGGCACACCUGUUGGAGUGUCAUGAAUACCUCAACCCUUAUAGGUUUUAUCACUUGUAAGGUGUUGGUUGUGAGCGUUUGCCGGUCGCAAGAUCGGCUCGCUUUAAAAUCAUUAGCUGGAUCCACUUUGACCUGGUUCUACUCGGCGUAAUAAGUUAUUAUCGUUGAGGACACUUUUCUUAGGAAUGGUGGCCACAGUAAAGGUUGCGAACCGCUUCUAAUACGUCUGCUUAGUCUUCGGGCUAUGCAACACUUUUAUCUCUGACCUCCAAUCAGGUGGGACUACCCGCUGAACUUAAGCAUAUCAAUAAGCGGAGGAA